Molecule: ribosomal RNA, 380 nt
Filed under: uncultured eukaryote
Lineage: Eukaryota
Description: partial 18S ribosomal RNA
Rfam family: Eukaryotic small subunit ribosomal RNA
Source: RNAcentral
CAAUAGCGUAUAUUAAAGUUGUUGCAGUUAGAAAGCUCGUAGUUGGAUUUGUGGCGUACGGUGUGUUCCGGGCACUUGUUGUCUGAGUAACCUGCUGUUGCCGUCCUUGGGUGGAACCUGUGUGGCAUUAGGUUGACGUGCAGGGGAUGCCCAUCAUUUACUGUGAAAAAAUUAGAGUGUUCAAAGCAGGCUUAUGCCGUUGAAUAUAUUAGCAUGGAAUAAUGAGAUAGGACUUUUUUGCUAUUUUGUUGGUUUGCGCAAAGAGGUAAUGAUUAAUAGGGACAGUUGGGGGUAUUCGUAUUCCAUUGUCAGAGGUGAAAUUCUUGGAUUUUUGGAAGACGAACUACUGCGAAAGCAUUUACCAAGGAUGUUUUCAUUAA